Long non-coding RNA from Homo sapiens (human), 854 nucleotides. Lineage: Eukaryota; Metazoa; Chordata; Mammalia; Primates; Hominidae. The record is from Ensembl.
GGGCACCCGGCGUGACCGGCCCAUGGGCGCUCGGUCUCACGCCCGCUUCGCAGAGCUCACCCCGCCAGCUCCUGCUCGGUCCCCAGUCCCCUGCCCCGAGCCCUCAGGGAUCGCACCGCAGUGCGAGCGGCUCUUCCACCCUCUGGUUUCUCCCCGUUUCCGGUCAAUAUAUUUAAACUUCUUAACAACCACGGCUUCGAGACGAUCCAGGGUUUCAUCUAUUAAAUCCUCCGUGGGCCUGAGACACCUGAGUGCUCAUUACUCUGUGGUUUGGGAAGCUCUCUUAAGAACAAGCUGUUAAAAACCCCCACUUGUGGACUGUGUCCCCGCUGGCCACAGGCCUGCUGUGGUCUUGGGUGUCAAGCACUAAAAGGACAAACCGUUGCCAACCACUUCCCUUUCUGGAACCUCUUAACUGCCUGCACCUCCCUCCCCGCUUUGUCUCCCAGUGGCAUUCAACAAGACUCUGUGCUUUUUUUGUGCUGAGCCGUUUUCAGUGAGUACUGGAAUCCGUGUGAGAGCUGUGCCCUUGUUUUGAGUUCUUGCUGAACUGCUCGCCCUCCAGCAAGCCUCUCGGGAGAACAGAGCGCAGCUGAGAGGAGCAGGGGUCCCAGCUCCUUCCUCGUUGGAGCUGCCACGGAGGCACCUAAAGCGCCCCCAGUCUUCACCAGCAUUCCAGGAGGUUUUUGAUAUAAACGGUGGACUCUUCCUCAGUCUUUCUGCGAAGUGCUCUGCAAACUCAACUUGAAAGCCUCUCUUCCCAGGAACACUGGCCUCUCCAAUGCAGACAUGGAAGUUGCUUUCACUUUUUAACUGAAUGUGUAACAUUGCAGCGUGCAUUAUUCUGCAUGUCA